GAGGAAAAGAAACCAACAGGGAUUGCCCUAGUAACGGCGAGUGAAGCGGCAACAGCUCAAAUUUGAAAUCUGGCCCUCGGGUCCGAGUUGUAAUUUGUAGAGGAUGCUUUUGGUGCGGUGCCUUCCGAGUUCCCUGGAACGGGACGCCAUAGAGGGUGAGAGCCCCGUCUGGUUGGAUACCAAUCCUCUGUAAAGCUCCUUCGACGAGUCGAGUAGUUUGGGAAUGCUGCUCUAAAUGGGAGGUAUAUGUCUUCUAAAGCUAAAUAUUGGCCAGAGACCGAUAGCGCACAAGUAGAGUGAUCGAAAGAUGAAAAGCACUUUGAAAAGAGAGUUAAACAGUACGUGAAAUUGUUGAAAGGGAAGCGCUUGUGACCAGACUUGGGCUUGGUUAAUCAUCCAGCGUUCUCGCUGGUGCACUUUUCCAGCUCAGGCCAGCAUCAGUUCGUCGCGGGGGAUAAAGGCUUCGGGAAUGUGGCUCCUCCGGGAGUGUUAUAGCCCGUUGCGUAAUACCCUGCGGUGGACUGAGGUUCGCGCUCCCAAGGAUGCUGGCGUAAUGGUCAUCAGCGACCCGUCUUGAAACACGGACCAAGGAGUCGUCUUCGUAUGCGAGUGUUCGGGUGUUAAACCCCUACGCGUAAUGAAAGUGAACGCAGGUGAGAGCUUCGGCGCAUCAUCGACCGAUCCUGAUGUUCUCGGACGGAUUUGAGUAAGAGCAUACGGGGCCGGACCCGAAAGAAGGUGAACUAUGCCUGUAUAGGGUGAAGCCAGAGGAAACUCUGGUGGAGGCUCGCAGCGGUUCUGACGUGCAAAUCGAUCGUCAAAUAUGGGCAUGGGGGCGAAAGACUAAUCGAACCUUCUAGUAGCUGGUUUCCGCCGAAGUUUCCCUCAGGAUAGCAGUGUUGAGCUCAGUUUUAUGAGGUAAAGCGAAUGAUUAGGGACUCGGGGGCGCUAUUUAGCCUUCAUCCAUUCUCAAACUUUAAAUAUGUAAGAAGCCCUUGUUACUUAAUUGAACGUGGGCAUUCGAAUGUAUCAACACUAGUGGGCCAUUUUUGGUAAGCAGAACUGGCGAUGCGGGAUGAACCGAACGCGAGGUUAAGGUGCCAGAGUAGACGCUCAUCAGACACCACAAAAGGUGUUAGUACAUCUUGACAGCAGGACGGUGGCCAUGGAAGUCGGAAUCCGCUAAGGAGUGUGUAACAAC
This 1201-nucleotide ribosomal RNA is filed under the name Atractium stilbaster. RNAcentral's name for it is "eukaryotic LSU rRNA". It matches the Rfam family "Eukaryotic large subunit ribosomal RNA", at positions 53 to 1289 of the family's 3401-position model. Lineage: Eukaryota; Fungi; Ascomycota; Sordariomycetes; Hypocreales; Nectriaceae. The record is from RNAcentral.